RNAcentral lists this ribosomal RNA (492 nucleotides) under uncultured bacterium. RNAcentral describes it as "partial 16S ribosomal RNA". It matches the Rfam family "Bacterial small subunit ribosomal RNA", at positions 29 to 507 of the family's 1533-position model. The record is from RNAcentral.
AGUGAACGCUGGCGGUAGGCCUAACACAUGCAAGUCGAACGGCAGCACAGUAAGAGCUUGCUCUUACGGGUGGCGAGUGGCGGACGGGUGAGGAAUACAUCGGAAUCUACUUUUUCGUGGGGGAUAACGUAGGGAAACUUACGCUAAUACCGCAUACGACCUACGGGUGAAAGCAGGGGUUCUUCGGACCUUGCGCGAUUGAAUGAGCCGAUGUCGGAUUAGCUAGUUGGCGGGGUAAAGGCCCACCAAGGCGACGAUCCGUAGCUGGUCUGAGAGGAUGAUCAGCCACACUGGAACUGAGACACGGUCCAGACUCCUACGGGAGGCAGCAGUGGGGAACAUUGGACAAUGGGCGCAAGCCUGAUCCAGCCAUACCGCGUGGGUGAAGAAGGCCUUCGGGUUGUAAAGCCCUUUUGUUGGGAAAGAAAAGCAGCAGGUUAAUACCCCGCUGUUCUGACGGUACCCAAAGAAUAAGCACCGGCUAACUUCGUG